GCGGACGGGCUGAAGUAAUGCCUAGGAAUCUGCCUGGUGGUGGGGGAUAACGUUCGGAAACGGACGCUAAUACCGCAUACGUCCUACGGGAGAAAGCGGGGGACCUUCGGGCCUCGCGCCAUCAGAUGAGCCUAGGUCGGAUUAGCUAGUUGGUGAGGUAACGGCUCACCAAGGCGACGAUCCGUAACUGGUCUGAGAGGAUGAUCAGUCACACUGGAACUGAGACACGGUCCAGACUCCUACGGGAGGCAGCAGUGGGGAAUAUUGGACAAUGGGCGAAAGCCUGAUCCAGCCAUGCCGCGUGUGUGAAGAAGGUCUUCGGAUUGUAAAGCACUUUAAGUUGGGAGGAAGGGCAGUAACUUAAUACGUUGCUGUUUUGACGUUACCGACAGAAUAAGCA
RNAcentral lists this ribosomal RNA (400 nucleotides) under uncultured Pseudomonas sp. RNAcentral's name for it is "bacterial SSU rRNA". It matches the Rfam family "Bacterial small subunit ribosomal RNA", at positions 98 to 492 of the family's 1533-position model. The record is from RNAcentral. Lineage: Bacteria; Pseudomonadati; Pseudomonadota; Gammaproteobacteria; Pseudomonadales; Pseudomonadaceae.